Long non-coding RNA from Solea senegalensis (Senegalese sole), 1755 nucleotides. RefSeq lists it as uncharacterized. The record is from RefSeq and is a predicted model, not a curated record. Lineage: Eukaryota; Metazoa; Chordata; Actinopteri; Pleuronectiformes; Soleidae. The transcript is spliced from 2 exons.
CUGGCGACUGGAGGAUAAAGCAGUAGAGGAUGGAUGGAUAGUUUCACAGAACUUAAUGUGACACUAAUGUACAAUGUUUAAAAUGUGAGGAUGUGCUUUUCUUUAAUGUAGUGGUAAUGGUUGACCAACUAUUAUUUGUUAACCCGUUAAGGGAAAUUGUCCUCACGGCUCUGCCUCUUCCAGGCAGCGCUUGGACAACAGAGAAGACAGGAGGGAUUGAUGUAUGAUUUGAUUGAUUCCAAUCUCUAUUUCACUGGAUUUUUUGCUUCAUUAUUUCCACCAGACCACCUUAAUUAUUCAUGGAUUUCAACAAAACUCAAACUUAAAAAAGUGACACAAUGAUCAAAAAACAUUAUGGGUCGUAUGACCCUAUUAUUUAUUUGCACAUAAAACCCUAAACUUAACUGCUAUGUAAAAAAACACCAAAUUAUGAGUGUUCAGUGCAAUUUAAGGACAACAUUGUCCAUGUUGGCUUUUCAAGGUUCAUUCAAGUUCAUUUUCCAUCUGCUGAUUAAGAUCAGCUGAUAUGAUGAAGAGCCACAGAACACUAACUAAAUGGAUUUGCCUUUUCAUUUGUUCUCAAGACCAAGUAUAAACUUUGAUCAUCAGUGACUUUGUGAAUUCUUGUAAAUACAAUUAUACUGAAGACAUUGUAGGCAAGUAGAGAAAAAAUAAAAAAGCAUUUGACAUUUUCAUUUCUUGGCAACAGGCUUUAAGUGUAUUCACCCUAAUCAAGAAUAAAAAAAUUAUAUUGUGACAUUAUGUAAAAGAUUGACACAGAUUUGAGAAAGACUUUCAGCUUUGACAUUUUCCUUACAUCACUGAGAUUGUGAGAUGUAUUUUUUUAUUAUUAUUUCUUAUGUUGGAGCUUCUGGGUUGGCCUUCUUAGCAGAGUACAGAGUAUAAAAGCUGAUGAACACUCUGGUAAGUCGAUUUUUCCAGUUAGACAACUAGAGUCAGUUGUCACACAUUUACAUUGAAAAACUUACUGUUACAGACAUUAAAUAAAACAUGAUUCUUUUUCCGUGUUUUGAAUAAAAAAACAUGUAGUUCGAUUGUGCCAUAAAUUAGUAAUUUUCAAGUCGUAAUGAAAAGUUUAAAAAAGUUUCAGUCAAUUUAGAAUAUCCAAUUAGCCUAAUCAUCAACCUGCAUGUUUGGACAGUGGGAGGAAGCCGGGGCACCCGCAGAGAAGAUGCGCACACAUGGGGAGAACAUGCAGAUUCCACACAGAAAAGCCCUCAGUUGAACCGUGAUUAUGGUACAUCACCCUAUACUUCUGUCUGGACCACUUUCUGAUGAACCAGGGCAACCAUAACUGAUAUAAUUAAGAUGCGUCUACAAACCUAAUCAAAUGUGAUUUAGACUAACCUGAGCCUCUCCUGCGGUUUGCUUCAGACGAGAGCAGAAGCGGCGGAGCGGUUAGCUGGGUGUUCUUGAGCUUCUUUGGUCGCCCCACCCGCCCAUUGCUCUUGCCCUUCCUGACAUACAGCAGCGUAGGUGUGGGGUUCAGAGCAGGAGAAGAAACAGGAUCAGGAGCAGAAGCAGGGGUCGGAGACUCUGUCUUCUCCUUUACUUGCUCUCCAUCAGACUCUCCCUCUGAGUACGAGUCAGCAGAGUUUCCUGACAUAACUGGACAGAAGGAAGCGGGGGUAUGAAAAAAGAGGAGAUAGGAGUAGGAGUAGAACAGGAACAAUUUAAUUAGUUUCAUCUGUUACCAAUCUCUGUGUCGCUAAUAAAACUCCAUUCACACACAAA